Molecule: ribosomal RNA, 492 nt
Filed under: uncultured bacterium
Lineage: Bacteria
Description: partial 16S ribosomal RNA
Rfam family: Bacterial small subunit ribosomal RNA
Source: RNAcentral
AGUGAACGCUGGCGGUAGGCCUAACACAUGCAAGUCGAACGGCAGCACAGUAAGAGCUUGCUCUUACGGGUGGCGAGUGGCGGACGGGUGAGGAAUACAUCGGAAUCUACUUUUUCGUGGGGGAUAACGUAGGGAAACUUACGCUAAUACCGCAUACGACCUACGGGUGAAAGCAGGGGAUCUUCGGACCUUGCGCGAUUGAAUGAGCCGAUGUCGGAUUAGCUAGUUGGCGGGGUAAAGGCCCACCAAGGCGAUGAUCCGUAGCUGGUCUGAGAGGAUGAUCAGCCACACUGGAACUGAGACACGGUCCAGACUCCUACGGGAGGCAGCAGUGGGGAAUAUUGGACAAUGGGCGCAAGCCUGAUCCAGCCAUACCGCGUGGGUGAAGAAGGCCUUCGGGUUGUAAAGCCCUUUUGUUGGGAAAGAAAAGCAGCAGGUUAAUACCCCGCUGUUCUGACGGUACCCAAAGAAUAAGCAUCGGCUAACUUCGUG